This 31-nucleotide non-coding RNA is filed under the name Rattus norvegicus (Norway rat). Lineage: Eukaryota; Metazoa; Chordata; Mammalia; Rodentia; Muridae. The record is from RNAcentral.
UGUUAGGUUCUUCACAAGCAGAAUUGCUCAU